AUACUUGAACCCAUAAGUGACACAUAUCUCAAAAUAGGACACAUUGCUUCCAGAAUACCUUUUCUCUUCUACAAAAUAAUGACAUUAACAUAAGAAUUAUCCAUUUCAGACAAAUUUCCGAUGUAUUUCACACUAAUAUCAAGACUUACACCAGAAAAAAUGUCUUCUCUCUUAGGUAUCACUCUUGAAUCUUGCAAAAAAUUCAUUUUCUUCCCAAUACAAAGCUUUUCAUCAUUACAAGUAGCAUUUUCUACCCAAAAAAGUGGUUUUCAUCCCCAAUAGAAAUCGUUUUCUCUACAAAUGGUCCCUUGUAGCAACAUAUGAAACACUGUUAUUGGAAUACCUCUUUCCCUCUUCAAAAUAAGGACAUUUCCAACAGAAAUAUCGAUUUCUGACAAAUUUUAGAAGAAUGUCACAUGAAUAUCAAUACUUAUCCCAGAAAUUAAAAGUUCUCACUUAACUAUCACUAUUUAUCCUUGCAAAUAUAUGAUUUUCUUACCAAACUAAUGCUUUUCAUCCCUACAAAUAGCAUUUAAAAUGGGGAGGGGUAUUAAAUGGGGGUGAGGGUCCUUAAAUAAGGAGGGGGGUUAAAAUGUGGGACCCUAUAAUGGUUGGGAUAGUUAAAAUGGGGGGAGUCUAUAAAAUGUCGGUGUUCCUUAAAUUGGGGGGGGGCUUUAAAUGGGGAGUCAAUGGCCAAAAAGGACCUGGAAGAGGCAGGUUGGGGAGGGGGGUCCUUAAAUAGGGGGGUCCUUAAAUAGGGGGCGGUCCAAAAAAUGGGGGGGAGUCCUUAAAUUGAGCUGGAACCAAUAAUGGGUGGGGGGGGUUAAAAUGGAGGGGUCCUUUAAAAGAAGGGUGCAUUUAAAAGUGGGUGUUCUUAAAUGGAGGAGGACAUUAAAAUGGAGGGGUCUUUAAAUGUGGGGGGGUCUUUAAAAUGGGAGGAGUCCUUUAAAUUGGGGGGGGAUCCAUAUAAAUGGGUAAGGGUUCAUUAAUGUGGGGGAGACCAUAAAAUUGGGGGGACUUAAAAGGGGGGGGUUUAAAAUGGGAGGAGUUCUUUAAAUGGGGGGGGGUGUCCUUAAAUGGGGGGGACCCUAUAAUGUGUGUGAAGGGGUUAAAUUGUGAUGGUCCUUUAAAUAGGGGCGGGGGGGUCAUUAAUUUCUGGGAGAUCCAUAAAUGUUGGGAGGCACCUAUCAUUGUUGGGGGUUGUUAAAAUAGGGGGGUCUUUAAAAGGGGGUGGUCCUUAAAAUGGGGGUACUUAAAUGGGGUUCAUUGGCCACAAAUGACC
RNAcentral lists this long non-coding RNA (1282 nucleotides) under Coturnix japonica (Japanese quail). RNAcentral describes it as "lncRNA (ENSCJPG00005007682.1)". The record is from RNAcentral. Lineage: Eukaryota; Metazoa; Chordata; Aves; Galliformes; Phasianidae.